RNAcentral lists this ribosomal RNA (392 nucleotides) under uncultured bacterium. RNAcentral describes it as "bacterial SSU rRNA". It matches the Rfam family "Bacterial small subunit ribosomal RNA", at positions 29 to 426 of the family's 1533-position model. The record is from RNAcentral.
ACGAACGUUGGCGGCGUGCUUAACACAUGCAAGUCGAGCGGUAAGGCCCUUCGGGGUACACGAGCGGCGAACGGGUGAGUAACACGUGGGUGACCUGCCCUUAGCUCUGGGAUAAGCCUGGGAAACUGGGUCUAAUACCGGAUAUGACCUCAUGACGCAUGUUGUGGGGUGGAAAGCCUUGUGCGGCUAGGGAUGGGCCCGCGGCCUAUCAGCUUGUUGGUGGGGUGAUGGCCUACCAAGGCGACGACGGGUAGCCGGCCUGAGAGGGCGACCGGCCACACUGGGACUGAGACACGGCCCAGACUCCUACGGGAGGCAGCAGUGGGGAAUCUUGCGCAAUGGGCGAAAGCCUGACGCAGCGACGCCGCGUGAGGGAUGACGGCCUCGGUUGU